AGAGUCCUACGGGACGCAGCAGUGGGGAAUAUUGCGCAAUGGGCGAAAGCCUGACGCAGCGACGCCGCGUGAGGGAUGAAGGUCUUCGGAUCGUAAACCUCUGUCAGCAGGGAAGAACGGUCACUGUGCUAAUCAGCAGUGAAUUGACGGUACCUGCAAAGGAAGCACCGGCUAACUACGUGCCAGCAGCCGCGGUAAUACGUAGGGGGCUAGCGUUAUCCGGAAUUACUGG
Molecule: ribosomal RNA, 232 nt
Filed under: uncultured bacterium
Lineage: Bacteria
Description: partial 16S ribosomal RNA
Rfam family: Bacterial small subunit ribosomal RNA
Source: RNAcentral